CUGUCACAGCAGGGCGCACCUUUCAACUAAGGAACUCCGGGUGGCUGUGUAGAACCAUCCUCACCCUAGAAAGGGGGAAACUGAAAGAAAAAGCAGAACACGCCAUUAACAAGGCCAGAACCCCGACUGCCAUUCCUGGACGGGAGCCACCAACACCCGCAAAAUCGAUCGAUUCAGCCUGGGACGCUUGCUGUUUCCGAACCUCUGUUGCCACCUAUCCCAGUUUGGAGGGAAUUUUCCCAAGGAUGGUGAAGAAGGGAUUUCCACACGCCGCCUCACUCAGCCCCGCACCCCUGGCCACCAGCCAGGACUUAGGGCUUCAUGACCACACUGCUGUAGGAAGCCAUAAGUUGGAAAUCAACGGGCCUGGCUUGAAGUGUGGCCUUAGGCAACACCGUUCUCAUCUACAUCUGGAUUCUCCAACAAAGCUGGGAAAAAAACGAUCCAAGGGAAGCCAAUCAAAGAGCCUGGAUUGCCAGUCUUCCCUGCUGCGAUCUCCGCCUGCGAUUCUCCAGGGGAAAUGUCCUUUAUGACCUUACAGCUCACCUGGAACCCUCCACCUAGGGCCCGAGGCAGCACAUCCUCUCGUGCCCGGGCACUUCCAGGCAUUGCCCUGAGUACUGGGCACUUCACACACUGGGCUGGACCACUCACCGGAGUGAAUAAGGAGGCUUGAAGCUGUCCUGGUACAACAAUGGAAUGAAGCGCUAGUCUCAGCUCAGCCACUUGGAAUAUGACUCCAACUCUCACAUUUCUGUGGGGUGUAUUCAUUUCAGCUUUUUGUUUGGUGCUAUGGGGAGGGAAGGGCCCUCAGACUGGCAUCCUUUUUCUUCCAGGAUGAUGAUGAAUAUUAUGAAAGUCUGAGGCUGUUUUUAAAAUUCUGCUCUAAUACGUUGUUUUUCUGUGCAUAAGAAUUAUGUAUUCUUAGCUGCAAAACUGGAAUCCGUCUGCUCAUGGAUAAACUUCUGGCCAUGAGCAUGUACCUUUCAGGUAACUUCCCUAUCAGAGAAGCUUACAAUCAAGAAUCCUACUUCCCUAGUUCCCUACACAGGCCCAGGAGGCUUUUGGUGGUAUCCGCUGGACUUUUGAAAAUUAGGGAAUUUCUCCUACUCUGAACUCUACCAGGAAUCACAUAUCAAGAUCUCAGUACCAUCUUACCUAGACCCUCUUGACCUCUUCUUUCUCCAUAAUCUCUUUCUAGCUCAUGUCAUCCAGACUCGAGGGCCCCAUUCUCAGUUUGACACUGAGGACACCCACGCUAUUAUCUCUGGCUGUGACCUUUCCCACGAGCUCCAAAUUCACACCAUCUUUUGACGUCUCCACUUAACUUCCCCAUUUCGGUGUCUCAAACUUGACAAUUCAAAACAGAACUCCCUCCCACUUCCAAACUGGUUUCCUACCCAACUUUCCCAGGCCCCCAGUUUCUCAAGUCAGAAAUCUAUGAGUCAUCCUUGAUGUUUGCCAUUCCCUCAUCCCUCCCAUCCAACCCAUUCGUAGGCUCUUGGGAAUCUACCUCCAAAAUGUCUCUGGAAUCCAUCCUCUUCUCUCCACCUCCACUGCCAACCGCCUCUCACCUGCAAUAGCUCUGAGGCAGCCUCCCCACUUCUUCUGCCUCCCAUCCCCACCCCUACAUAUUCCUGUCCUAUCUCCACCCAGAAGCAAACAAGAUCUUCUUUAACUGUAAAUUGGUUCACAUCUCCCCUGCUUAGAACUUUCCAAGGCCUUGACAUUAUUCCAAGAUCAAGACCAAACUCUUGACUGUGGCCAGUGAGACCUUUCCUGAACUGGUCCUACCUACCUCUGCAAACCCAUCUAGUGACACCUUUCCCUUAGCUUGCCUCCAACAUAGUGUAUUAGUUUCCUAUGGCUGCUGCAGGAAAUGACACAAAUUAUCCCCUUAUAGUCGUGGAAGCCAGAAGUCCAAAAUGGGCUGGAGCCAAGGCAGGCAGGGCUAUGCUGCUUGCAGAGGUUCUAGGGGAGAAUCUAUUUCUUGGUCUUCUUUGGCUUCUAGAGCUGCAAUCCUUGGCUCAUGGCGCCUUCCUCCACCUUCAGAGCCAGCAGUGUAGCAUCUUACUUGGUGAUCACAUUUCUUUCUUCUCCAGUGUCAUAUUUCCCUUUGCUUUACAUUGUCCUUUAAAUUUCUCUUAUAAGGAAACUGCGAUUGCAUUUAAGACCCACCCAGGUAAUCCAAGAUGAUCUUCCCAUCUCAAGACCCUUAACUGAAUCCCACCUCCAAAGUCCCUUUUGCCAGGUAAGGCAACAUUCCCAGGUCCCGGGGAUUAGGAUCUACAUAUGUUCGGGAGUGACUAUUGAGCCUACCAUGCAUACCACGCUCCUUCCCUCACCAGGGUCUUUGUACCUCUUGUCCCCCAUUACUAGAAUGCUCCCUUCUUCCCUCUCACUCUUUGCUUGGCCAUAUCUUUCUCAUUCUUGGGGACACAGCUUACCUGGCACCUCCUCAGACAACCUGUCUCGGACCAGCCCCUUAACAGCCUGAAGACUUUUUUUUUUUUUUUUUUGAUACGGAGUCUUGCUCUGUUGCCCAGGCUAGAGUGCAGUAGUGUGAUCUCAGCUCACUGCAACCUCUGCCUCCCGGGUUCAAGCAGUUCUCCUGCUUCAACCUCCCAAGUAGCUGGGAUUACAGGCACCUGCUACCAUGCCCGGCUAAUUUUUGUAUUUUUAGUAGAGACAGGGUUUCACCAUGUUGGCCAGGCUGGUCUCGAACUCCCGACCGCAAGUGAUCUGCCCACCUUGGCCUCCCAAAGUGCUGAGAUUACAGGCAUGAGCCACAGUGCCUGGAUGAAGACUUUUUCAUGUCUUUUUCAACUGACUUGUUUUCUGCCUGCCUCUCCCUCCACCCUCACCUAAGCACCUUGAGGACCAUGUCUGUUUUGUCAAUCCACUGGUCAUCCUAAUAUAACUGGUUAAUAAAUCAUUGCUGAAUUUAUUUAUUU
RNAcentral lists this long non-coding RNA (2954 nucleotides) under Homo sapiens (human). RNAcentral describes it as "HSALNT0385885". The record is from RNAcentral. Lineage: Eukaryota; Metazoa; Chordata; Mammalia; Primates; Hominidae.